This 414-nucleotide ribosomal RNA is filed under the name Klebsiella pneumoniae. RNAcentral describes it as "partial 23S ribosomal RNA". It matches the Rfam family "Bacterial large subunit ribosomal RNA", at positions 2318 to 2731 of the family's 2925-position model. RNAcentral also lists the same sequence under 1 other name. Lineage: Bacteria; Pseudomonadati; Pseudomonadota; Gammaproteobacteria; Enterobacterales; Enterobacteriaceae. The record is from RNAcentral.
UAGCUAAUCCUGGUCGGACAUCAGGAGGUUAGUGCAAUGGCAUAAGCUAGCUUGACUGCGAGCGUGACGGCGCGAGCAGGUGCGAAAGCAGGUCAUAGUGAUCCGGUGGUUCUGAAUGGAAGGGCCAUCGCUCAACGGAUAAAAGGUACUCCGGGGAUAACAGGCUGAUACCGCCCAAGAGUUCAUAUCGACGGCGGUGUUUGGCACCUCGAUGUCGGCUCAUCACAUCCUGGGGCUGAAGUAGGUCCCAAGGGUAUGGCUGUUCGCCAUUUAAAGUGGUACGCGAGCUGGGUUUAGAACGUCGUGAGACAGUUCGGUCCCUAUCUGCCGUGGGCGCUGGAGAAUUGAGGGGGGCUGCUCCUAGUACGAGAGGACCGGAGUGGACGCAUCACUGGUGUUCGGGUUGUCAUGCCA